Molecule: long non-coding RNA, 1751 nt
Filed under: Oryctolagus cuniculus (rabbit)
Lineage: Eukaryota; Metazoa; Chordata; Mammalia; Lagomorpha; Leporidae
Description: lncRNA (ENSOCUG00000039503.1)
Source: RNAcentral
UGCAGCAAUUUUAGGGGACCUUUGAGAAGAAAGCAAGAAUAAUUCACCAUUAGCUCCAUUAGCUUCUUCUAGCUUGAACUAGAGGUAGCAAGCAGCCAGCGCCACCAGGGAGACCUCAGCUGUUCUGCUUCCGGGUCGGCAUCCACACAGUCCCCUACCGUCCACACAGAAUGCAGCAGGCACUACCAGCUGGCCACCUCUGAGGCCUGUUCUCUGAUGUCCAGGCCUGCUCCUGGCCACCCUGUGCAUGUGGCUGUGUCGCGGUUCUCUGGCUUCGAUCUCUAGAAAAGCCACCACACCCUGCCUCGCACCUUUCGGCAUUUUUCACUUUGAGCUGCCAGGCCUGGCAUAGCCACAGACAGAGGAUGUUUACAUAGUCGAGAUACAGAGCCACUUCUUCUUGAAUUAUUAUUAUGUUAUGUAUAUGACAGGCAGAGAGGUACAGAGUAGAGGGUAUAUCUGAGAGGCAUAGAGGUGGAGGGGAAGAGAGAGAGAGAGAGAGAGAGAGAGAGAGAGAGCAUUCAUUCACUGGUUCACUCUCCAAAUGCCCACCCCAGCUGGAACUGGGCUGAGGCCGAAGCCCAGAGCUGGGAAGGCGAUCCAGGCCUCUGACAGUAGUGCAGAAGCCCAGUGACUCGAGCCUUCAUGACUGCCUCCCGGGCUCUGCACGGGGGCAGAGCUAGAGUCAGGAGUCGGAGCCGGGGCUCAAGCCCACGUCCGCUGAUGUGCGAAGAGGAGACCUGAACUCCCAGGCUGAGCUAGCCAGAGCAGCUUCUUCACAUUUCUCAAGCUGUGCCCGUAGGCUGAGGUCGGUGACAUUUCCGCCUGUCACUGGGCAUGGGGUUAGCUCAAACAACGGUGGGCGCAAUCUGUGAUACAAUUCAAAGGAAAUAUUUCUCCCUUGGAUAUGGAGCCCAAUUAUUUGGACAAAGAUUUAUUUCUGCAUGGGUUAUACCACCACUUACACUGUGCACAGAUAACCAGGAGAGUCUCCCUGCACCCUGAGUGUGUCUCAUGGAGAAGAUGUCUCACUCCAAAGGGCAGCCUUUCACGCCGACAGACCCAAGGUCACAACACAACGAAACUCUUCUACAGCUUCUCUCCAAUGACUUUGGAGAAAUUACUUGGAGAAAUGUGGGCCACCUGCAACCUGCUCCAAGCAGCGGAGACCCCAGCGCUGGCCCAGAGGAACCAGAAGAGUUCAGAAGACAAGAGCAGCAAUUAUGAGUGUUCUUCUGCAGAAGUAGAAUCAGAACUCUUGGUCUUGAAAACUGAAUGAAGUAUGGACCUUGUUUUCAGAUACUAGCACAUGGCAUUCUAAGAUGUCUCCCAUGAUCUGUUCCCACCACUGUCUGCAGCCUGUGAACCCUCCUGACCUUGAGUGUGGAGAGAGCAUCGAUUAAGAGGGGACUUCAGGGGCUGCCGUUGAGGUGCAGUGGGUUAAACUGCCACCUGCAACACUGGCAUCCCUUAUGGGUGCCACCAGUUCAAGUACCAGCUGCUCCACUUCUCAUCCAGCUCUCAGCUAAUGACUUGGGAAAGCAGUGAAAAUUGGCCCCAGGGAUUGGGCCCGGACCACCCACAUGGGAGGCCUGGAUGAAGGUCAUGGCUCCCGGCUUUGUCCUGGCCCAGCCUUGUCUGUUGUGUCUGUCUGGGGGAGUGAACCAAAAGAUGGAAGAUCUCUCUCUCCUCUCCUUUCUCUCCCUCUGCCUUUCAAAUAAAUAAAUGAAUCUUUUAAAAAUGGGUCUUCA